AAAAGUUUUAAGUAAAUUUAUGAUUUUGCAUUGGGUCUCAUUCAUAGCCAUCCUGGGCCACAUGCAGCCCAGGAGCCGCAGGUGGGACACCCCUGUUACAAUAAUACUUCAUACAUGGUAAGUGUUAUGUAAUUACUUAUUCAAUGAAAAUAAAGAAGGAAAGUAGCCAUUUAAGAAGAAAGACUUUUUAUUUCUUUAGAAGUUGAUAGGGAGCAAUUAAAGAGUGGCUUCAUAGGGCAAACACAGAGUGAAAUUGUCCUUAUUGAACCAGGUUUCAGGAGUACAGAGUUGCACCUUAAAUUAAGCCAUUGUUUCAGAGUUUAGGUUUAGGUUCUUUUGCAAUACCCAAUGGACCUAACACAUACUUAAAAACAUUUUACUAGUGAAAGCAUUGUAUGUUUGCCAAAAGUAAUACAUGAUCUGUAAAAACAUAUAAUAUAUGUAAAAACAUAUAACAUAUAAUAUACUAUAUGGUACUGACAAUUACUGACACUCCUCAUUUCUAAUUCUCUUCAUAAGACUCAAGUUACCCACUGAAAUCAUUCAGAGUUCUUUAGCCUAUCAGCAAAUGCUUUCUGUAAUUUAAAAGUGGGAAUUAAAAUAGAGUUUUGGCCUGAUAUGAGGUGGGAGUGGGAUCACAAUAGGCUGUUUUCCUGCAUUCUCACUACAAUACACUCAGCAUGAGAGCCAUAUGGAGUGUGAAUAUACAUGAGAACCUCAACUCUUGACCUCACCUCUGACCAGGAGUCUGCUCCCUGGGGACACCACAUUGAGGGGCUGAAUCUCUCCCCUGACAUGGAGAUGUCAUAUGUUGCCUGUCCCCCACUCAGGUAAUGGGAAAUUACAGUAAUUACUCUUGUUGGGGGACUUAGAACAUGACAAGUUUUCAAUGAGCACUCAAUAAUUUUCCUUAUAAAAAUACUUUAAUGGAACUUUGAUGGUGGCAUAUAACAGCUAAUGAAGUCACAAAUGACCUUAAUAGGCUGAUAUUUUUUCAGACUUUGAAAAAUAGUUACAUCAUACCAUCAGUUCACUUUAAUUAGAACUCAGGAAAGAAUCCUUUACUGGAUAUGUCAGCAUGACAAAUGGUGGUCACAUGCAGGGGUUUCAGGUAUUAGAUAAAUAUAGAGAAGGUACAAUUCCAUUAUCUCAAAUAAAUGACCAAUGUCAUGUGUGAUAUAUUUUGUUACCAUGGCAGUAGGGUACCUGGCAUCAUUUAGCACAGUACCUUGUGUAAGGUAUAUAUUAUUAACUACAUGUUGGAAACCAAAUAUCAAGGAGAGAAAAAAACUGCAGAGUAAAUUAUUAGUAUUCUUAAUAUGUAAUCUUAGAAAUAUACAAUAAAAAUGGUUAGUCUGAUAGAAGUAAGGAGAAAACACAAAAUUAAGCAAUUAAAAAGAAUUUAAAUGGCCAGCAUAAUGUUAAAAUAGUUCAGUAUCAUUAGGAUUAAAGAGAUGUAAUUUAAAGAAAAACUAGAUAUCAAUUUUUUACCUAUAACAUUGGCAAAAAUGUGAACAGUGAAUCCCCCUCUCCACUCUCCAACCUUGUAGCUUUUAGUCUUGUCCCUGGAUUACAACUUGGCACCCUUCCAACCUUUGUUCAACAAGUUCUCAAAUGUGCUAAUAGACAAUUUUGCCUCUAGGUCUUCUUCCUGCUGUUUCCUUUGCCUGGAAGGUCUUUCCCCUACUCUUUGCUCUGCUUAAACGCCUCUUCUCCCAAUUUAAAAUAUUUCUUCAUUUUCUUUUACUUACUAAAACUCGUUGUAAUUUUUAAUUACAUCAGUAUCUUGUUGCUUAUUUUCUGCUCUAAACAUGGGCAGGGACCAUGGAUGGUGUGUUCAUGUAAGUCUACACAGAACCUAAUACAAUACUUAGCAUUUUAUACCUGUUCUAUUUAUGUUUUCCAAAUGGGUGAAUGACUUAAUGAAGUGGAGUUAUUAAGAUUCUUUAAAAAAUGUUAUGCUUAUGGCAUGUUGAAUCAUAUGAAAAUAUUUUUAUCGGCAACAUGGCCAACUAUCACCAAUUUCAUAAGGAAAUUUAUAAUCAUAAUUUCAGAGGACAUUUUUAAGUAUUAAAAGACAUAGACAUGUCUAUACUCUUGCAACUUCUUUAUCUAAGGAUAUAUAUAUGUAAUAUAUGUAAUAUAUGUAAAAGGAUAUGCAAAGAGGUAGCUAUACUCACAACCUUAUUUAUAAUUUAGUGAUAAUUUAAAAAUAUGGAAACAGCCUAAAUGCCAAAUUCAGAAAACUAGCUCAUGAACAUGUGCAUCCAUGCACCAGAAAUGCUUUGUGACCAUUCAGAAUUAUGCUGUUUAAGAAUAUGUGUUGAUAAGGUACAUUUUACCACAUGAAGUUAAAAGUCUAUUACAAAGUAGUGUAUAUGAUUUCUCUCUCUCUCUCUCUCUCUCUGUUGCACACACACAUACACACACAGAACAAAAAGAAGUCCAGAGAAAUAUAUCCCAUUAUAUUAUUAUCAGUGGUUAAUUUCUGGAUGGUGGGAUUACUGAUUUAAUUGAAUAUACAUGCAUCACUAGAGAAAUCAGGAAAAUUCCUUGAAAAUAUUAAGUGCUAGAGCCUAUUAAAAUGAUAGAUAUAUAUGUUUAAGUAGAUGACAGAUAAAUAGGGAAGAGAGAAAGUAGAAUUAGAAUUUAAUUCAGAUUUACACUUCAGACACUACCAAAUUACAAGCAACUUGUAUUUAAUAUAGUUACAUAACAGGGUUCCUAAUUUAUAAUUAUAGUCUAGGCUAGUAAAUCUGAAAUUCUACAACUUAAAAUAGCUAUUCUUUAUUUAUUUUAAACUAAAAGGGCUGAGGACAAUUAAGUAAAACAUCCUCGAUAUUGCACUACAGUGCUUUUAGGCAAAUGACAGAUUACAUAUAAGAACAUCCAAUCCUUCUUUCUCUGAACUUAUGGCAAUCUUUAUAUUUGAUCUUUAUAAGAGAAUUAUAAAAAUCUUAUCUUUAAUAGCUCCCUGGAUAUUUGUUUUUGAAAAAUAGUUUAGAGUUGUAAUUUUAUUGUCUUCAAGGUGUAGAGACAACCUCAAAAAGCAACAGUGAUCAGACAAUGUAGGUGCCAUCCAUGGCAACAAAAUGGAGACUCAAUAAAUAUUAGUAUUCUCCCUCAUCCCAGCUAAGAAACUAUUGGAACUUUUGCAAAGUCAGGAUCUCUUUGGGUCAAGCAUAUACACUCUAACAUUCCAUCUACUUACCAAAUUGUGUUAAACUCCCUUAAACACUAUAGGAGGUUUUUGAAAAUUACUGGCAAGAAUAACAACAUUUGUUCUAAGGGCUGGCAGUGAAAGGGGGCUAAGAGAGUGGUAGGGACAUUCUCCCACAGUCUUGGCAAUGAUAUUCUCCUUCUCAGGCCCUCAACGUUGAGAGGCAAGUGUGUGAUUAUAGUUCCUUACCUAUACCUUAUUUGAAAUGGCUCCAAAAUGUGAAACCUCUGAAAUGCAAAAUUAUUAUUUUUUCUUUAGAAAUAUAUUUUUAUUAUUGAAGACAAUUUUAAACCAGUGGUUUACAGUGAA
Molecule: long non-coding RNA, 3529 nt
Organism: Phyllostomus discolor (pale spear-nosed bat)
Lineage: Eukaryota; Metazoa; Chordata; Mammalia; Chiroptera; Phyllostomidae
Exons: 2
Source: RefSeq, a predicted model, not a curated record